Molecule: ribosomal RNA, 119 nt
Organism: Vulpes vulpes (red fox)
Lineage: Eukaryota; Metazoa; Chordata; Mammalia; Carnivora; Canidae
Source: Ensembl
AAGCUGUGUGACUUUAUUCUGAAUGUGCCUGAUUUUGUCUAAUCUCUGAAACUAAGCAAGGUCAGGCCUGGUUAGUACUUGGAUGAAAGACCAGCUGGGAAUACAAGUUGUGUAACUUU